Molecule: ribosomal RNA, 459 nt
Filed under: uncultured bacterium
Lineage: Bacteria
Description: partial 16S ribosomal RNA
Rfam family: Bacterial small subunit ribosomal RNA
Source: RNAcentral
CCUACGGGUGGCAGCAGUGAGGAAUAUUGGUCAAUGGGCGGAAGCCUGAACCAGCCAAGUCGCGUGAGGGAAGAAGGUACUUAGUAUUGUAAACUUCUUUUGUCGGGGAACAAAGGCGGAGACGCGUCUCCGGAUGAGUGUACCCGAAGCAAAAGCAUCGGCUAACUCCGUGCCAGCAGCCGCGGUAAUACGGAGGAUGCGAGCGUUAUCCGGAUUUAGUGGGUUUAAAGGGUGCGCAGGCGGGAGAUCAAGUCAGCGGGAAAAUGUCGGGGCUCAACCCCGGCCGGCCGUUGAAACUGGUUGUCUAGAGUUGGAGAGAGGUAUGCGGAAUUCGUGGUGUAGCGGUGAAAUGCAUAGAUAUCACGAAGAACUCCGAUUGCGAAGGCAGCAUACCGGCUCCAUACUGACGCUGAGGCACGAAAGCGUGGGGAUCGAACAGGAUUAGAUACCCUAGUAGUC